Molecule: long non-coding RNA, 368 nt
Filed under: Pan paniscus (pygmy chimpanzee)
Lineage: Eukaryota; Metazoa; Chordata; Mammalia; Primates; Hominidae
Description: lncRNA (ENSPPAG00000045121.1)
Source: RNAcentral
GUCAAUAAUCUUUGAGGAUUUAUGCUAAUUUAACCAGAAAUGCUCUUUCAGAACAUGGAUUUAUCACAUGUCAUAGAACAUUGAAGUCACAUUAGAAUGUGGUUAAUUUCUCCACUGAGCUAGAAGCACAUGGUUUGCAGAACAUUGGCUACAGUAAGAACAUACUCUGCAUAAGAGAGGGUUCAACAUUAACAACAAUGUCUGUAAAAACAGAAUCACAGCUGUCAAGAAGAGUGCUAUGCUGGUGGUACAGGCUCAGUGAUGGGAAAUUCAAGCCUUGAAGAUGAAGAGAAAAAUACACCAGCAUUUUAAUUAUUCCAUGUAUCAUCAUAAAUAUAUAUUUUAUUUAUUAUGGAAUUCUACCUGUG